RNAcentral lists this transfer RNA (65 nucleotides) under Cherax sp. HG-2014a. Its description in RNAcentral is "tRNA-His". Lineage: Eukaryota; Metazoa; Arthropoda; Malacostraca; Decapoda; Parastacidae. The record is from RNAcentral.
UUUAAAUAGUUUAGUAUAAAACGUCGGGUUGUGGUACCGAAGAGAUAAGAAGUUAUUUUAAAUUG